Molecule: long non-coding RNA, 815 nt
Filed under: Hordeum vulgare
Lineage: Eukaryota; Viridiplantae; Streptophyta; Magnoliopsida; Poales; Poaceae
Description: long non-coding RNA (HVUL_LNC019781)
Source: RNAcentral
UAACAAUCACCUGCCAAAAAAGGACACCCAACAACCACGCAUUAUACAUACUAGCCAUCAUCUUGAGCCUGGUGUUGCUAUCAGCUUAACCAAUCAAACUCAACAUGUCUGCUAGUGGCAAGAUCAUUUUCAUGAGGAUAAUUCUCAUCUCUUGCAUUCUACUCCCCCUUGGGUUUCUUUCUCUUGCACCACCUCUACCCGCAGCUAGCUCGAGAAGCGCACGAAAGUCUGGAUACAUUGUUAUCAGUGGUAAUCUGCUAAAACUCUCUCUCUUAUCAUGAUGCUUUUCCGCAGCUUAUGUAAGCUUUGACACGCUUUUGGCUAUUAGGAGAUUGUGCUGACAUGUAUUGCUUUGCAUCAUCAGUCUUCAAACAGUCAUAGAAUGCAUGCAUUUGUUGCAAGUCAUAUGAAAUCACUGAUUUUCUUGAAAUGGAAUGCCCGGAGAUGACAGCUAUGAACUGAUACUGUUUUCAGGUUGCAACAAUUACUGCAGCGUGGCCUGCUGCUACUGUAACAUCCACAGGUUUCCACCUGUUUGUGAGAAAUGCUGCGAGUAAUACGAAGUCUUCACUUCCUCCAUCUUUGGAACAAGGCAGGAGAUACUUCCGGUGUGCUGUCUUGGCAUGAUUUCAUAGUAAAUACAUCUGAAAGUCUGAGUUUCAACAACAUGGAAACGCCUGGAAACCCUUAAGUUUUCAGUCGUGCUGUAUGUUACUUUUCCGAUAACUCAUUAUGUUUGUUACUUUGAAGCAACAUGAUCUGAUUCUGGCAUAUCAGACCUACACAUGGCAGUUUUUGUUAAAUAGUACUCCCUC